Molecule: ribosomal RNA, 651 nt
Filed under: uncultured low G+C Gram-positive bacterium
Lineage: Bacteria; Bacillati; Bacillota
Description: bacterial SSU rRNA
Rfam family: Bacterial small subunit ribosomal RNA
Source: RNAcentral
CAUAUGAUAGAGUGGCGAACGGGUGAGGAACACGUAAGAAACCUGCCCCAAAGAUGAGGAUAACUACUGGAAACGGUAGCUAAUACUGAAUAGGACAUAAAAUCGCAUGAUUUAAUGUUUAAAGGUCCGUUUGGACUGCUUUGGGAUGGUCUUGCGCUGCAUUAGAUAGUUGGUGAGGUAACGGCUCACCAAGUCGACGAUGCAUAGCUGGUCUGAGGGGAUGAACAGCCACACUGGGACUGAGACACGGCCCAGACUCCUACGGGAGGCAGCAGUAGGGAAUUUUCGGCAAUGGGCGAAAGCCUGACCGAGCAAUGCCGCGUGAACGAUGAAGGCCUUCGGGUUGUAAAGUUCUGUUAUCAGGGAAGAACAUACGGAUUAGGAAAUGACUCCGUACUGACGGUACCUGAUCAGAAAGCUCCGGCUAACUACGUGCCAAGCAGCCGCGGUAAUACGUAGGGGAGCAAGCGUUAUCCGGAAUUAUUGGGGCGUAAAGCGUGCGUAAGGCGGUACGUUAGUCAAUCUGAAGCCCCAGCUUAACUGUGGAGGGAAUUGAACUGGCGACCUGAGUACGGCGAGGUAGUGAAUUCAUGUUAGCGGUGAAUCGUACAAUAUGAGGAACCCGGGCGACGUGGCUAUGGACGGAAUGCC